RNAcentral lists this long non-coding RNA (2630 nucleotides) under Salvia miltiorrhiza (redroot sage). Its description in RNAcentral is "long non-coding RNA (SMIL_LNC005791)". Lineage: Eukaryota; Viridiplantae; Streptophyta; Magnoliopsida; Lamiales; Lamiaceae. The record is from RNAcentral.
CUCGUCCUAACCUCCGUUUUCUCACCGUUAGUCAGCAUUAUUUUUUUCUUUUAAUUUUCAGUGGGCCCCACCUUCUUCACCUUCUUGAAUACAGCCAACUCAAGAAAAAAGGGUGAAACAAUUUCAAUAGAGUUCAUCCUAAAAGACUUCAGACUCAUGUUUCCAAAUGCACCGCAUUUUCACUCCCCAAUAUCCCCUCAACAUUUUGUGCUACAAAAAUCCGUCUUAAUUCCUAGAAAUUCCAAAAAUCACAAAAUCUCUGCAUCGAUGCACACUCAAUAAUCAAUAACUUAAUCAACGGCUCGAGCAGCGCAUUUCAAAUGCAGUCUUCUUACGAAUAGCAUAGGCCACAUAAGCUGCUAGCCAACAUUUCAAUAGAAGUUGAAAACUCACACCAGCUUCAACAGAUUAAAAGAGCGCAAUCAACGGUCAACUAGCACAAAUCCAUCGCACAAAAACCAAUCGGGUCACUUACAAAUACCAGAAAACACAUCUCCCACUUUCAGAGCCGAAAUCAAAUUUACAUGCGUUGAAUCAUAGAGAAUCGGUAAAAUCGAUUUCUUCGUUUUAUUUCUUGAUUGGAUUAACUUUUCUGGAGCAGGGAUGCGGCAAGUGACUUCAGAUGAUGGUGAGCAAAUUGUUAUUGACCAGUACUGGGACUAUCUUACUUCAUUGCGAAGAACAGCUGCGGCGCCAAAGGCGCUAACAUGCGCAGCGGCGUGUUUAAGAGUGAUGAGGAGAUGGCAAAUUUUCAGCGCGCUUGCAUGAUCGACAAAUAGAUGGAGAAGAAGAUGAUCGAGAAGGCCGUGGGUCGGAGGAAUUCCGUCACCGAUUUUCAGGUGAAGAAGUCGCGCAAAGAUCGCGAGAGUUCCAGCUGGAGCUCCUCCUGUUCGAGCUACGCGACCGCCGUCGGAUUCUUCUUCUCGUUGGAGGUGGAGUCAUUCCAGGUGCAGCAGCCGAAGCUGAUACGAACGGGGUUCGAGAAGGAGAAAUUUGGCGGAAAUCGCCGCAAAUUGGAGCUGAAACGUAAAAUCGAAGGCGGAUUCUCCCAUUCAUGAAUUGUAAAUAAAAUACCUGUAAAUCAGAUAGGUAUCUACCAUUGCGGCUUCCAGGGGCGGAGCCAGGAUUUUUUUUGGGGGGGGCUGAACUGUUACGGGGUUCGGGGCGGUAGGCCCCGAUUUUUUUUUGGGGGGCAUUCAAUACAUUUUAGACAUUUUUUACUAAAAUACAAAUAUAAUAAUAAUAAUAACAACAUUUUCAUAGAUAAUAUAGUUCAAAACAUUUACUAAAUUUUUUUUGGGGGGCAUUCAAUACAUUUUAGACAUUUUUUUACUAAAAUACAAAUAUAAUAAUAAUAAUAACAACAUUUUCAUAGAUAAUAUAGUUCAAAACAUUUACUAAAAUUUUUUUUGGGGGCAUUCAAUACAUUUUAGACAUUUUUUACUAAAAUACAAAUAUAAUAAUAAUAAUAACAACAUUUUCAUAGAUAAUAUAGUUCAACAUUUACUAAAAAUUUUUUUGGGGGGCAUUCAAUACAUUUUAGGCAUUUUACUAAAAUACAAAUAUAAUAAUUAAUAAUAAUAACAACAUUUUUAGACAUAUUAUAAAAAUAAAUAAAAANAGCGUAUAUCUCCUCAUUCUCACUAGUGUAGCCCUUAUAGCGUAUAUCUCCUCAUUCUCACUGUGUGUGCAACUAAACCCCCAACUCAAGAAAAAGGGUGCAAAUACCCCCCUCGCCCUAAUCUCCGUUUUCUCACCGUUAGUCAGCAUUAUUUUUUUAUUUUUAAUUUUCUGUUGGGCCCACCUUCUUCACCGUUAGCUUUUUGUUUACUUUUGAAGUCUAAACUAUUACUUUAUGGUUUAAGGGGCUUGGCAUGCGGCAAGUGACUUUAGAUGGUGGUGAGCGAAUUGUUGAUGCCCAGCCCGAUGUUGAGGGUUUUGAAGAUGUUGAAGAUGAGGAGGAUGAGCUAGCUUGCAUGGUUUGCCGCGAGGGCUACCGAUUGAGACCUACAGAUUUGUUGGGUGUUUACACUUACAGUAAGCGUGUGAAUUUGGGUGUUGGAACGUCAUGAAGUGCCCGUGGUGAUUGUGUUUAUACAACUGUCAGCCAUUUCAAUAUCAUACAUUUCCAGUGCCAUCAAGAAGCUAAACGAGCCGAUGCUGGCCUAAGAAAUCCAAAGAAGGAAUGGGAUGGUGCAGCCUUGAGGAACAAUGAAACUCUUUGUAAUAAUUUGUUUCCCCUGAGAGGACCCUCUGUUCUGAUGGGACAAUACUUGUGUUAUGUUGACCAGUACUAAGACUAUCUUACUUCAUUGCGAAGAACAGCUGCGGCGCCGAAGGCGCUAACAUGCGCGGCGGCGUGUUUAAGAGUGAUGAGGAGAUGGAGAAUUUCCAGCGCGCUUGCAUGAUCGAGAAAUAGAUGGAGAAGAAGGUGAUCGAGAAGGCAGUCGGUCGAAGGAAUUCCGUCACCGAUUUUCAGGUGAAGAAGCCGCGCAAAGAUCACGAGAGUUCCAGCUGGAGCUCCUCCUGUUCGAGCUACGCGACCGCCGUCGGAUUCUUCUUCUCGUUGGAGGUGGAGUCAUUCCAGGUGCAGCAGCCGAAGCUGAUACGAACGGGGUUCGAGAAGGAGA